RNAcentral lists this small nucleolar RNA (102 nucleotides) under Erysiphe necator (grape powdery mildew). RNAcentral describes it as "A. fumigatus snoRNA Afu_264". It matches the Rfam family "A. fumigatus snoRNA Afu_264". The record is from Rfam by way of RNAcentral. Lineage: Eukaryota; Fungi; Ascomycota; Leotiomycetes; Helotiales; Erysiphaceae.
GUAAAUGAUGAUAAUUUUUUCACUAUUAUAUUUUCUGGUACCUCUUGAUUUAGGAAACUUUUCUCUACGGAAAGUGACGAUGAUCUCAACGGACUUCUGAUA